This is a non-coding RNA of Cinara cedri, 310 nucleotides long. NCBI's taxonomy places the organism in Eukaryota, Metazoa, Arthropoda, Insecta, Hemiptera, Aphididae. The record is from the annotation of a GenBank genome assembly.
GACGUUACGCUUGAAAAUCGGAUUUGGACUUCUGGUAGAAAAGUUGUGCACAGACACAAAAAAAAAACAACAAAAUAUCGCACACGUAAAUAAACCCAACAGAUUUCUCACUGCGCUCGAAAUCUAAAAAAUAUUACUGUUCUAAUCGGUGGCACUGGCAGUUUGCUCGGCGAUUUUUAACGGAGUAUUUCAUGAUGGGGUGACAAAGUUGUUAUACGUAUAGUUCUGAAGGGUGUGGGAUUUGUCUCCUCCUAAAUAUGUUACACAGAUGAUUAGAUGAAAUUAAUAACGAAAGUGGAAUAAUAAUUCG